Molecule: long non-coding RNA, 707 nt
Organism: Octodon degus (degu)
Lineage: Eukaryota; Metazoa; Chordata; Mammalia; Rodentia; Octodontidae
Exons: 3
Source: RefSeq, a predicted model, not a curated record
GACCUUCCAGGGCUUUCCAGCCUCGGCGUCCUCCUAGGCCCCUCCUUUAGCCCGGUGUUUGCCGUGGGCGGCUCUGCAAAUCCCACGUUCGCCUUACACGUGCGGCGCUCCUGACCCUUAACCGCCCUCAUGGAGCAAGGCAGGAGGCUCUAAAGCCGGGCUGGCGUCCGUGGGGCCCUGAAACGCAGCGCUGCACGCACAUUUUUCCUCAGGAAGGAAGGACAUUACAGUGUGCCACGUGCUUAAAGAAACCCACUCACUGGUGACUAUGAGUGGACACUGGAGUGCAGGAGUGCCUAAGCACACGUGACCCACCUCGGACCUGACGCUGCAGACCUAUUGUUUUGUGAGAAAUGCUGUGGAAGCAAAGGUGAAGAAGCGACAGCCUGCCACCUGCACCCAGGAAAUGAAGUGACUCUUGAAGAUGAGCAUGCGUCUUUCUAGCGCAAGAAAAGGAAAACAGUGCUCCUGGCAGAAACAAGAGCAUAUAUACACCCAGCUAAGGAUGGUAAAAGUUCCAUAUUUUACCAAAGCGUAGAUCCUCAGUUUUACCAAUCUACUUGCUCACAGGAUUUUUACUGUUUCCUGAAUGUUGAUAGUAUCAUGUCACUCCAUGCAUCCAAAGUUUAUAAAAUCUUGAACUAUGAAUAACUGCUACGAAGACAACAGUAUGCAAUAUAUUAGUUAUUGUAGCUGUCCUACUAACC